Molecule: long non-coding RNA, 349 nt
Filed under: Mustela putorius furo (domestic ferret)
Lineage: Eukaryota; Metazoa; Chordata; Mammalia; Carnivora; Mustelidae
Description: lncRNA (ENSMPUG00000027598.1)
Source: RNAcentral
GUGCUCCCAAGGAGGGCCUGUGGGGCUGCCUGCCCAGCGAUUUGGGGUACAAAGGAGUGGGAAAGCAGAGAAGCGUGGGCGGUAGGGAGAGAGAAGAGAUACAGUGAACUAUCAAGGCAGGAUGGGGCUUGGUAAGAAGAGAUCAGUUCCUGACAGCUUUCAGGACCUGCUUUUCAAACCUCUGGGGAGAUUUGGAUAUGUGCCUUGACCGAAUCUGGCCUGCUCUUCAUCACGGAAUACUUUGUUUUUGCUCCUGCUGGUUUUGGACCGUGAGACCCCACCCUGUGCCGAUGGCCCUGAGCCUAUUUGCAGGACCUGUGCAGGCCUCUUCCCAGGCGUGUCCUCCCCA